Cyprinus carpio (common carp) is the source of this 3522-nucleotide RNA transcript. It is a transcript of the gene named phospholipid phosphatase related 2a, with no coding region annotated. The record is from RefSeq and is a predicted model, not a curated record. NCBI's taxonomy places the organism in Eukaryota, Metazoa, Chordata, Actinopteri, Cypriniformes, Cyprinidae. The transcript is spliced from 8 exons.
AGACUCUCCUCUAACCUCCCCGUUGCGCCGACUAGCACGCGCGCACACGCGCAUUCGCUGCAGCCGCACUGGAGAGCUGUGGUUGAGGUGACGGCUUUAUCUCUCACGCCUCAUUAGAGAGGGAUCCGCCUGUGCGCGGUUUGCACACAGACCUUGAGCGCAUCUGCGCGCGCUAAUGUGAGGAAACGCUCUGCGAGAAAAAAUCCUGCGUGGGUGGGUGGAUAGACGGAAGAACGAGGACGAGAAGAGGGAAGCUGGAUCGGUGCGCAGGAGCUCCACGGAAAACGCAAGUUAUGGCCACUGCAUAGGAAUCCAUCGCGACGGCUGCAGGGUGUGAAAAUAAAGUGUGAGAGGAGGAACAGAGCAGAAAGAAGAGGGAUCUACAAUGGCAGCAGAAGAGAAGCCUGCUGUGAAGAGCAGUACCUCCAUUCUACCAUGUUUCCUAUUUGUGGAGCUGGUGAUCAUGGCAGGCACCGUUCUCCUGGCGUACUACUUCGAAUACACGGACACCUUUCCCGUGCACAUCCAGGGCUUCUUCUGCUUCGACAAGGCAUUCUCCAAACCCUACCCUGGACCGGAGGAGAGGAGUAACGUUCCUCCGGUGCUCGUGUACUCUCUGGUAGCUGCUAUCCCCACUAUAACCAUUCUGGCCGGCGAGGUGAUGGUGUUUUUCAUGAGGUCGGAGGGCACGCAGGAGAAGACCAUAGUCACAGCCGACUGCUGUUACUUUAACCCUCUGCUCAGACGCAUCAUACGCUUCCUAGGUGUCUACACCUUCGGCGUGUUCACUACCACCAUCUUUGCCAAUGCUGGACAGGUAGUGACAGGAAACCAGACGCCUCACUUCCUGUCAGCGUGCAGACCAAACUACACAGCACUGGGCUGCCAUUCCAACCUACAGUACAUCACAGAGCGCAAAGCCUGCACGGGAAACCCCCUCAUAGUAGCAUCUGCGCGGAAAUCCUUUCCCUCCAAAGAUGCAGCCCUCAGUGUUUAUUCUGCAGUGUAUACAGUGAUGUAUGUGACGUUGGUGUUUAGGACUAAAGGGACGCGUCUGACCAAACCCACACUGAGUCUGACUCUGCUGUGUCUGGCCAUGCUGGUCGGUGUGGUCAGAGUGGCUGAAUACCGCAACCAUUGGGCCGACGUCCUCGCUGGAUACUUCACCGGCGGAGCCAUCGCUGUCUUUCUGGUGACGUGUGUUAUCAACAACUUCCAGCAGACAAAGCCCCCACCCCCACCGGUGCGACCCCAGCGCCCUGAGUCUGUGCUGGGCAUGCCCAUGGUGGCGCUGCCCUGCGUAGAGAGUCCACUUGAAAAGUUAAGUGGCACUCAGGUAAGGGGUGGGAGUGGGUUAGUGGCAGGGCUGCACACAUAAGGGGGAUGGAUUAUGCCCCACCCUGUCCUUCUGUGUUUGACCCAGUGGACCCUAAUGUGACUCCCAAGACCCACCCAGCCCUCCUUCUCCCUUUACUAGCAUGUCAACCCAAACACCAACCACAGCACCCUGCAAAACUCACUGACGCUCUGGAGGAUUGAUCUGCUCCUUGCUUAUCCCGAAGAGACGUUACAUUACAUUUAUAAUAGAGUAACUGAGAAGCAGCGGAAUGUUUAUGGCCAAUAACUCAUUGAUCCCUCAAUGGGUUGAUGGGAAUUUAAAGAGCAGUCUUUAGAGCAGCUGUACCUUUACGACAAAUAAAGUGGACUGUGUAGCAUGUGGAACUUCAAAGACGGAAGGCCAUUAGAUGGUUCAUUCUGGGAAAAAUUACCACAGUACUCCAAGGGGAUCUUCAUUCACUGAGAUCACAUGACCAUCAGCCUCAUCGGUUCCCCGUCCCCCCCGAUGUCCUCAUACCGUCUCGCUCCAUUACCAGCGAAGUCUAGACCAGCCCUCCCAGCACGCGCGCCACUGCGCCGCCCACUCCGCGGGACGCUCCGCCGCUCUGCACCGCUCCUACUCGACGCAGGUCUAGAUUUCCUCACUUCAAACCCCUCAUCCUCCAUAUUCCUCCAUGCUGCCGAUAGGGCCUCCACAAACCGUUCAAACAAACCACGAGAAGAACUUUUAGAGAGCCUGCUCGGAGAUCCUGAACGCCUGAACAAAGCCAGGAAUCACAGUUAAGCGUCUCUUUUUUUGCCAGAGAGUUUGUUUGGACUGUGGGUGGAGGAUUCGCACCUGUUCAGACCUCUCAAAACCAACCCGACCUACUUCCUGGGGAACCGAUGAAGAAGCCUUGAUCAGCUUUUGGCUGAAAUUCAGAACUCUGGCUGCAAUUUUUACUGCAGUGUCAGUUCAUAUGUAAAUACAUGCACUGUUUUGUUUUGUUUUUGGCAUUUUGGUUAAAGGCAUGUCUGUUUUGUUCCUUUUCGUUAAUUAGGGUGACCAUACGUCCUCUUUUUUCCCCGAUGUGUUUAUAAAUUGUGUAAAAUGUCUGGGUUUUGGCUUUGUUUUCCUAUUGUUUUCAUACUUGCUGAAGGUAAUGACUGAAAAGUGCUUUGACCAAUAGCAUGCAGGCAUUGUAUAAAAUCGACCAAUCGUGGCGUGCAAGAAGGCAGGAUCUACAGAGAACAUCAAAGCAAUGCAAAUACAUAUACAUAUAAUGUAAAACAAAGCCAAAACCUGAACAUUUUAGGCAAUUUAGAAAUCCCAACCAGGACAUAUGGGAAAAAGAGGACGUAUGUUCACCCUAGCACUGAUGGAGUUUUUAAGUUACAUUUAUAGUCAUCAAUAUGUAUGGUUUUGAAAAAAUGACAUACAUAAACUAUCUAUUGAUUUGUUUUUGAGUCAUAUUCACUAUGCACUUGGGACAAUCUCAUCAGCAUCAGCUAUCUGGACAUCCUGUAAGUGCACAUCAAGGAAAAAACUCUAAACUUGGAGAUGUUCUUGAUAUCAGCUCUUGUAAUAAUGUUUGGAUGCAUCGUAAGGAAUUGAUAGACAGAAUGACAGACACAUAAAAAUCGACCACAGCAUUCUUUUAAUAUUUAAUGUCUGGUUCGUGCUCGCAAGGAUUUUUCCACCAGCUAGAUAUAAUGCACAGUCUGACACGAAGGCCUUUUCAUUAUUGUCUCCCUAGACACAAGGCUUUCAGACAUGAGACAUUCUUACAGUUUUUCAUCAAAAUAUGGAUUGGAUUCUUCAUUUCUCAGGAGAGAAAAGCAAGAAAAGCACCCCAUGAUGUCAACAGAACAGUAAAGACAGCAUCUGCAUUGUUGUUUGUAUUUCUGUGAAAGUUUUCGAAAGUGGUAACUGGAGGUCAGCUAGUUUCUUUCCUGUAUAGUGAGCAGCCCUUUCACAUUCAUAUAGCCAUGUGUUACUAGCAGGGUCGUGCGGCAUUCAGAAUUGAAUUGAAGACUCCUUUCGAUUUAGAGUUCAUAAAUUUAAAUUGAACUUGAACUUGAGGUAGCAAAGAGAUUCAGUUUUAAAGUUUUGAAUGCAAGGAAGUAGAAUUAAAAUUAAUUCAAAUUUUAAGAAAUUCUGUACAGUAAGCUUAAACUAGAAAUGAAAGUUUUAUUUAUUUUUUU